AUCUUAUGACUCUUUGUAUUAUCCUCUUUGUUUGUAAUUGAAUGAUUUUAGUACUAAGUUUAUUUCCUGCCAUCAAAUCAUACCAGACUCUCUGUAGGAUAAGGCUUUGCCUCAUCUUGGUAACAGCAGCAUGUGAUAAAUGAAGCUUUUGCUGCUCUCUCUAGUGGUGAUGACGUCACAAUCUCUGUGUAAACCAUCCACAGCCUGUUUUUAGGCUGUAUUAUAGUAGACCACCAUUUCAGUGUUACCUGCCAGGUGCCGUGGGACACUAGUAACACACGUCUGCAUGCACCUCGACAGUUUUCAUUACAGUCUUCUAAGUCAUUUUAUGAAAAUUGAUAGUGAGUUCAUGGAUGAACAUACACAAACACCUGCACAGAAACACAAACAAACACAAACUCUCUCUCUCUCUCUCUCUCUCACUCUCUCUCUCUCUCUCUCUCUCUCACACACACACACACACACACUUUACUGACAUGGUACACAUUCUUUGCACACCAAAAAUAAAGUGAGCAGUAAUGAAAAUACACCAAUAAUGGAGUCGAUGAAGGGAGUUAUGCAGAAGCUGGGACUUAGAGUUACUUAAAGGCCCUAUACAGGCUCUCCUUUUGUUGGAGGAGAAAUUUCAAGUGCAAUGUGGUUCUUUAUUUUCUAUCUCUAAAGCACACAGGCUAUGGUGGAAUGUAGGGCUUUGAGCAUGUUUGGAAAGUACAAUCACACUGAAUUAAAUCCUAGGGCUGGAACCCUAUUAAUCUUCUACAGAAUUACAGAGCAGCCUGGAUGAAGACACUCAGCUGAAAAGGUGGACAUCUCAAGACAGGCACUGGACAAUGGCUGAAGACUUGUCUGAAGACUGGAAAUAUUUUGAAAAUUCAGAGAGAAAAAAAAGGACCCUCUGACUACACCGUACUCUAAGGACAGUUUAUGCAGGUUAGGCAUGGCAUGAACUAUUGUCUCAUGUGACAGAUGUCAGCACAAAGUAUCCAAGGUAUUGUAUGCCAAUGGUAGCAUCAACAGAACAAAGCACACAGUGUCAUGAAGACAUAAAUUAUGAGUUUGUGUACCAAGACCCAGGCCUCUUCCAGGUUCUUAGAUAGUAACUGAGAACCUCAAAUACGGUAGUGAUGUGAUAGUGUGGGGGUGAAUCUAGUUACAACUAGCUUCUAUUGUGACACAGAUGACUCUUUUUGUGUCAUGGUCAGCUUAUAAUGAAUGACUAGACCUAAGCAUGAGAAUAACCAAAUACUACAUUGCUUCUCUAGCUGCUGAGCUUUUAAAAGCCCUGGGGUGACAGCAAGCUUUUGUGGACAUACUGGAUUGGUCCUUGUGUACUUUAACUCUCUGAGUCACCUCCACUCUCAGUAAGUUAGUUCAAUUCCAUAAAUUGGAAAUCAGUCACCUGGAAAAAAUACAUUCUCAAUAUGAUCCCAGAUUGGCCAUGGAAAAAGGGUAGCUUGAACUGUCCCACCUAGGUUCUGGGCCUGCACAGGCCUGCUCUCCAACAGAAACCUGUGUUCACAGCUGCAGGCUGCAUUCACUAUGGGUGUCCUUGAGGUUCUUCCCUAAACUGCCUAGAUUAAAAUAAUUUUCAUGCUAACAAUCAAAAAACUCAUUAUGCCAAUCUGGCCAACAGGAAGCUAAUUUCUAUUCUGUAUUUUGUCAGAUGUGCAGAAUACAUAUGGUCAUCAUUGAUAAUAGGUGAAAGAUCUGCUCUAAUAUGGACACUAAGUGGUGCUGGAGGAUGAUCCUGACCCACAAUGAGGAGUGGUAACACCAGAGCCCUGUAGGGAUGGCUGGCAAGCUAACACAUUGAGCAUGCACAGCUCAGUAAAUUUCCUGUGAAUACACAUCUCCUGAGAUCUCUCUAUUUGAUUGGAGGUGAUCCUGUCCACCUAAUACAGUACAUGAUGUGGAAGGACAAAAGCACCUGCAGGAGCUGUGGUGAUGACUCACAGGAUAGAGCAUCUGCUACUCUCUCAGAAGAACCACAUGGACCCUAACAAUUGGGUGCUUCCCACACAAGAAGUCACAUGACCACAGAGUGUCAUUUGUCAAAGAACCAAGAACUUGUUCAAAACUCUACAGAGCAUCCAAUCUAUCACGUGGAUAUGCAAUGAUGAGAUGGUGCUCGGUCUGGACGUUGCUGGUCUUUAUCUUUCUUGUUGAAGUCAACCAAAUAUUUCUGGUUCAGUGCACAAUCAAGAUGUACCUCCUUGCUCUCCUGCUUCAGUGGGACCAACUUCUUCCUACAUGUGUUCUCCAUCAGGAGCUGGCUGAGCAGGUUUCUGGAAAUACAGUCUGCAUAGUAAGAUCAUGCUGGCCCUUUCCCCCAUUCCUACUCCCAAGUACCACUAACUCUACCAGAUCCCAGAUACCCAUGAAGACUUAAUAGAAUUCAUUUCGAUACAUAUAAGGCUGCUGCACAAACCACAAAGAGUAAAUUCCGGGAAGAAUAAAUUGUUUGUUUGGCCCGAGCACCAAUUAGUGUCCACAUCUCUCAAAAAGAACAUGGAUCUACAACUAUCCAUGAAAGCCCAAUGCAUGGGGGCAACAUCAAUUAGUAGUGGGCAAACACCCUCAAAGGAGGUCAGUAGAACCAAGAGAAGGUCAUGCUAACCAUGUGGUCCACACACUGAGUUUUGUAAAACCUGGUAUGACACCAUAGGUCCAGGUCAGCCUAAUAACCUGUUGACUUCAAUCAGUGCUGUUCUAUCUAGAGCCUUCUGAAGAUGCCUAGACAAUCCUGGGAUGAGGAACAGUCUUUUGUGGAACUGAAAACUGAGUCCUAAUGACCCUGGCACACUGAUGUGUAAACAGCACAAGAGAUAGAACCAGAGCUGAAGACCGUCCAAUCCAGAACAAAGAAAGUCAGAAAUGGCCAUUCCACAGGUGAUAGGCUUUCUGACCAGGACUUACCUAGAGAAGGUAAUCUCCUUCUUCAGCUUACAGCUGUUCUCAUGGAUCUCAGUGUUCUCCAUCUCUAAGUUGUGCAGAAUUGACAUGACCGCCUCCUCCAUUCUCUCCAGGUCUUCAUAAUAUGGAUUUGGCCUGAAGUGUGGCCUGGCCCCAAAUGAUAGAAUACAAUGAACAUCAGCAUUUAGGAAUAUAUGAGCUCAGGGUGGGUCCUGUACUACCCCAGUCCUGGAAGGACACCUUCUGAAUUGUACAUAUUGGAUAUUCUUCAGCUUCAGAAACGUGUUUUUCUGCGUCCAGGACACCAGAAUCUCAGCAUCUAGAUGGAGGCUUCCCUGGCUCCCUUUGUUCAAUCAAGAGGAAAUCUGCAGUCAAGCCAGUUAAGCUAUCAAGAGCCUAGGCCACACCUCUCCAUGCUCCCCGACCCCAACACACCCAGAAACCGGUGAUUUCUUUUCUCCUGUUUUGACAAGAGACCACAUAUCAACACAAAAUUAUAAUCUGCACAAGGAAUACAAAUGUACAGACAAUCGUGGCCACAUAGGCAAAGAACUGUGCUGUUGACAGUGGGGCUCCCAGAACAAAGCAUUCACAUGACCAUGAAAGUGUUACAGGUAAAUACUCAGGCUAAGACAUAGACCCCUAGAUUCCAGGUGUGGAGGGAAAUAUAAACAUAUAAAAGUUGUGCAUAUGCAUUUGGAUGUAUGCACACACAGACUCACAGACUGAAACACACCCACAAAAAAAAGAGAAAAGUUAACAGAAUCAGAGAAAGAGAAAAACAAAUAUGGAAACAGAGAGCACUGUGAGAACCAGGAGAAAUGCAUGCACCAUUGCUGUCUCAGAGUGCAAGACACACAGACAAUAACAAACAGGCCUGAGCCUGAGACCUUCUAGUCAAGCAUUGAGAUGAACAGUUUGGGACCAGGCCCCUCAGGCUGCUGCCUGGAUCUUCCAGCACUCAGUCCCCUGCCUAGCAAGUACAGAGACUCACCAUAAACUCACUGCAAUUACAAUCUUGCAAAGCCACCAGCUGUCAAGGGCUUUGCAAAUGCACACUAGACACUCACUCUCCCUGACUUUAUCCCCGAAUUCUUCAUUCAGACCACAAGAUCUGCUUUUCAAUAAAUUGAAGCAGAUGAGUCCAUUUUCCAUCUUGCUCCUCAGGAAGGGUCAAGGUUCUGAAUCUCCUCUAUAUGGGAGGUGAGGUUUAGCACAGGGUGGUUAGGGAGGCACAGCUUUCUAGAACCCAAAACCUUAAUAGGAUAAGAAGAAGGUGACCUUGCAGACCCAGGAAUGAAACAAGAGCAUUUGGAGCAGUUCAUACCUGUUCUUCAUGGAUCUCUCUGUCAGAAACCUCAGGCGAUCUCUCAGGUCAUUUCUCUCCUCGGUAAUGAGCUGCAGCUCUUUAAUCAGCUUCUCCUUUUCCUUCUUGGCCUGAUUCUCGCUUAGUUCAGUGCCAGGGGAUGAUGUUUCUCUCCCAGCGUCUGUAGGUAGAAGAACACAAGUGAACCUGCAUGGGGAGAAUGCAUAGAGUGUACAUAGACCACAGUUAGGCCUAAACAGGAGAACAAGCCUGGAACCCAGUGUCACUGCUAGGCGAUUGGUCUAUGCUUAAGAGGCCUCAUCAGUGGAUCUCAGUUCUCCCACUACUCUAUCGAGACCAAGAGAUGUAAGCAGCCAGGUGUUCCCUAUUCCGGACAUCAGGUGCUUACAUGGACCACGGAGAUGGCUUCUCCAGGAUUAUCAUCAGCUGAACAGGGUACAGCUUGGUUUCAGGACCCUCACCCCUGUGGGUUCGAACUCAGAUGAUAAAUUCACCACCCACAAGACUUGAGUGAUUGGAGACACUCAGAUGUCCUACCCUGAUACUCUAGGCCAACAACUUUGGAUUAAAAACACAUUUCCAUGGAGGACAUGGUCAACAGACUUAUCAGUUCCCCUAUUUGAAAUACCAAAUGCCCGAGAAGUUCCAAUAGGUUACAGGAUGAAUCUUGGUCCACAUGUUCCAAAUACUUUUGGUAUUUUAGAAACAUGUUUGUAACACACAACCUCUAAUAUAUAAAGCUAACGAUGACCCUGCCAGUUAGAAGAAAUCAGAGGAGGUCUAAGAACAUAAGGUUAUUGCCUGGAGCACAAUUCUCCCCCUGUUCCUACUGUCAGAUAUCCACUGUAUUUAAAGAAGCAAUGAUAGUGAAGUACAUUGCUGCCCUGUCUAACACAGAAAAGGAGGACCCUCCAUGACUCCUGAUGGUGUUAUUAUACAAUGUAACAUAACAAAUGCACUGUAAAAGUAAAGACCAGAAGUUCACAGAAUAAUAGCAUUGGCCUUACCAUAUCCUCCCAGUGGGGAUGGGGAAACUAAAGUUCUGAAAUCCUGACUUUCAGGAAUUGUGAUAUUCAUGGAAAUUCAAUUCCUUUUCAGAUGCUCCAGUUGUUGUGGCCCAUUGCUAGAAAGGUCAGCUUAAGCCUGCAGCCCCCCUGGCAGGAAGCUCAAAAUACACUGCCCAGAACUUACUCAACAUUCCCCAGAAGUGCUGUCUUUGUCCAUCAUUACUUUGAGACGAAAGGCUAGACUCCUUCACUUUAGUCUCUCCAGAAUCGACAUUCCCCCUCCGAAAAUGCUUGCGAAGACGGGAAAACAUGUCUUAGCUUGUAACCGCCAGACUCAGACUGAGAGAAACUAGGGCACUGGUCGUCACUACAACACUGGUGACAUCACAGAGGAUGCCAGAACUCUCUAGGAGACAAUAGAAUGUCCAAGAAGGGACAGCUGAUGUCAUGGGGAGCAGACUUUGCCUCCCUGGUAAUGUUCUCCCUGUACUGAGCAUAAGCUGAGGUGCCCUUUCCAGGAGACUUUCCUGGGGCAGAGCCACUGAGCAUCUCCUGCUUCCAAAGCCAAAUUUUCCUCAAGGCUUGAUUAUAAAAACCUUAGUAAUUCUUAUGCAUCUAAAUGAAUGUUUCCUUCCAUAUCUUGCCCCAAAAUGUCUCAUCCUAACUCAAAUUGUCCUCAUUCACCAAUGUUAGCCAUUAAAACUUCCGGAGAUUUCACACCAGAUUGAAUAUGCAGUCAAAAGUUCUCCUGUCUCAUUAUGUACAGGUGCUUUAUAUCACAUCAAGAAGUAGUCUGCAUGGUAGGUUACAACAUGCGUGUGUGUUAGGGGAACACUCAUGAAGUCAUGUGCUUAGCAAUUGACAAUUGCCAGAAAAUUCCUUAGUUGAAAGAGUUGAAGUCUUUAUGGUGCUAGGAACAGUGUGGAGACCAGUUGGCAGAGGAAAGUGCAAUAUUGGAGCCACCAAUAAAGGGAACCUCAUGCUGCUUGUGGGGUUCUCAUCUCUGCGCUAAUGUCGCCAAAGGAGCACUGCUGACAGGCCUUCUAUCAGAAGCUGAGCUUCUAUCAAAAAAAUAAAAUAGUCAAGAGAUAUAGGGGGUGCAGAUAAAGGUGUAGGACGAGGCUAUACACAUCACUACGUGGAUAGAGCAAGGACCCAGCACUUGUGCUCUGGGUCAUGGGCUUCCCCACAAACACAAAAGUAUCUGUCACAGUAAAAAAAUGGAUACUGUAUUGAGUGCACACACCAACACUGAUUGAUCAGAUCCAUACCCCAGAUUUUGGGGGCAGAUCCAUGGCCCCAAAUAUCUUCCUCUCAACUUAUACAGCAACAAAUAAGAAAGAAAGAAAAAAGUCAAAAAAAAAAGCUCAAGCUUCUCAUAUGAGGAUUGCAGGAAGUGUGAUCUGGUGGUCAGUUCUGAUUAGGCCAUUUUAGAUAGAACAGUGCACAGUGAUGCUUAAUGUGAUGGGUCCUAUAUAAAGCUUUCUGCAAUAUUGGAAUUUUUACAAGCCUCAUCCAGAACAUACAGAACAGGAAAGGAUGUGAUCACCAUGUCCUUGCUCUCUAUCAGGUUAUUUUUCUGUGUCCGUGAUUGUCAGGCAUAGACAGCAACAAUCUGAAAUAGCUGGUAGACAUGGAACAAAGUGGCUAUAACAAAACUAUAGUUGUGGGUUACACACCUCAACUGUCAAAGGCUAAUGCUGUCCUCACAGUCCCUGGAGGCCACUCUUGUAAGACUGUCUACUGGAAAGUAGAAGCAGGUUUAUCUGAGCUCAAAGUGAACCUGGCCAGCUAGGAAGAGGGCAACAUGGGAUACUUGAGACCCUGUCUAAACCAGCACAGAAACCCACCCUGCAUUCAAAGCAUCAUCCACCAAUUCUCGAUUAUCUACCAUUCUCUCCCUACCAGUCUUUCAGACUGGAACUGUAGAAAAGAACUGGAAAUGAUCUUCCUAUUCUGAAGACCUUGAUCUCUCUUACCUUAGGUGUACAUUAAGAACUCAUGCAAAUGGGUAUGACCAUCUGAACAUCUUAGUAUCACCUACUCAGUAUAUCUAGCAUAAUACUGUGCCUAUGGCAAUCUCAAGUUUCCUUGAGUUUCGCUGACCCAGCAAGAAGUAUGAAGUACUGAGGUCAAACCCCAGUGAUCCUUUCAAGGGUUUAGAAGAAAGCCAUCAGAGAAACUCCACUUCUUUGUCCUUAGAUUAAAUCAAGCUGAUACAAUGUGAACCUGGUGGGCUAUUUAACCAUGCAUCUUUCUGCCAUCCCCACCUUUCUGAAUUCAGUCCAUGUGAACCUGCAUGGGGAGAAUGCAUAGAGUGUAUGUACAUAGACCACAAUGAGGCCUAAACAGGACAACAAGCCUGGAAUCCAGUGUCACUGCAAGGAGUUUGGUCUAUGCUUAAGAGACCUCCUCAGUGGGUCUCAGUUCUCCCACUACUCUAUAGAGACCAAGAGAUGUAAGCAGCCAAGUGUUCCCUAUGCCUGCUGACACACGCAAUAAAUGCAGUAAAUUUUAAUUUUUGUUCAGUUGUUCAGUAACUUACAUAUUGCUGUGGAAGUGAUGGGGUUUCGUGAUCAGCAUUGCAUUUAACAAUGCAUAACCAAUCAUCCCUCCUAGAAUGACUGUAUAUAGAGAAAGAAAAUUUAUUAGAAUGGUGUAUAGGCUGUGGUACAGCUAAUUCAACAAGGAAUGGAAGGUCCAAAUUGCAGUAGUUGCCCCUGUUGAAGCCAAUCCCCCUAGCAUAGCUGUAGCCAUUUUGUUCCAUGCCUGCCAGAUAGUUCAUAUUCUUGCUGUACUAUGUCUGUCUGUCAUGAUUGUCUGAAAAUAAUUUAACUCAGAGCAGGGUCAGGAAUGAUCACAUAACUUGUGUAUGUUUUUUUUUAUUGGUUAUUUUGUUUAUUUGCAUUUCAAAUGUUAACCCCCUUUCCAGUUUCCCCUACAAUAACCCUGCAUUCCACCCCCUUCCCCAGCCUCCUCGAGGGUGCUCCCCCACCCACCCAUUCCGGAACCACUGGAAGGAAGUUCUUUAUGUUGUGAGGUUUCUUAAUCUUAAAUUUCAUAAUUAUAAGCUUCAUGUAGGACCAAUAAAAUUAAAGGUCAAUAUGAGGGCUGCAGUGAUGGCUCCAUGGUUAAGAGCACUGACUGCUCUUCCGGAGGUCCUGAGUUCAAAUCCCAGCAACCACGUGGUGGCUCACAACCAUCUGUAAUGAGACCUGAUGCCCUCUUCUGGUGUGUCUGCAGACAGCUACAGUGUACUUAUAUAUAAAUAAAUAAAUCUUUAAACAGAUAAAAA
Molecule: non-coding RNA, 8542 nt
Organism: Rattus norvegicus (Norway rat)
Lineage: Eukaryota; Metazoa; Chordata; Mammalia; Rodentia; Muridae
Source: RefSeq, a predicted model, not a curated record